CAGGGUGUAGCUCAGCUAGGCUAGAGCGUUUGUUUUGGGAACAAAAGGACGUAGGUUCGAGUCCUACUACUCUGA
RNAcentral lists this transfer RNA (75 nucleotides) under Stigeoclonium helveticum. Its description in RNAcentral is "tRNA-Pro". It matches the Rfam family "tRNA". From Rfam's summary of the family: Transfer RNA (tRNA) molecules are approximately 80 nucleotides in length. Their secondary structure includes four short double-helical elements and three loops (D, anti-codon, and T loops). Further hydrogen bonds mediate the characteristic L-shaped molecular structure. tRNAs have two regions of fundamental functional importance: the anti-codon, which is responsible for specific mRNA codon recognition, and the 3' end, to which the tRNAs corresponding amino acid is attached (by aminoacyl-tRNA synthetases). tRNAs cope with the degeneracy of the genetic code in two manners: having more than one tRNA (with a specific anti-codon) for a particular amino acid; and 'wobble' base-pairing, i.e. permitting non-standard base-pairing at the 3rd anti-codon position. The record is from RNAcentral. Lineage: Eukaryota; Viridiplantae; Chlorophyta; Chlorophyceae; Chaetophorales; Chaetophoraceae.